Molecule: transfer RNA, 77 nt
Filed under: Flavobacteriales bacterium
Lineage: Bacteria; Pseudomonadati; Bacteroidota; Flavobacteriia; Flavobacteriales
Description: tRNA-Arg
Rfam family: tRNA
About the family: Transfer RNA (tRNA) molecules are approximately 80 nucleotides in length. Their secondary structure includes four short double-helical elements and three loops (D, anti-codon, and T loops).
Source: RNAcentral
GGCCUCGUAGCUCAACUGAAUAGAGUACUUGAUUACGGCUCAAGAGGUUCUAGGUUUGAAUCCUAGCGAGGUCACUA